GGGAUUGUUGCUACGCCGGUCGCUUCCUCCCCACUCCUCUUAUAUCAAAAAAAAUAUAUUUUAAAUUUAUAAUAUUUUUAUUUUAUCAAAAAAAAUUAUGGUACUUUUUAUCAAAAAAAAAAUUAUGAUCCCUAAAUCACAGAAAAUAUAUCAUCAAGGCUGAAGCCCGCCAUUUAGCAGGCCAUGCUGAAGGAAAUAGUAAAAUGGCUGAACG
This 214-nucleotide long non-coding RNA is filed under the name Elaeis guineensis (African oil palm). RNAcentral describes it as "long non-coding RNA (EGUI_LNC015288)". Lineage: Eukaryota; Viridiplantae; Streptophyta; Magnoliopsida; Arecales; Arecaceae. The record is from RNAcentral.